CAUGAAUCAUCUCAUUAGCAUAUAAGACAGCAAGUUCCAAGGGUUCUGAGGAUCUGUCAGGCACUGGGGACGAAAACCACAUAUUUAUUCCGUAUGUUCCCACAACAGGUUAACUGUAGGCCCUACAUGUCCUGGGCUGAAGGGGAAGAUUUUUUGAGUCAGGAGACAAGAGCCCACCAGCACAAGAAUCCAGCAGAGAAGGCAGGAAGCCAGCCCACCAGGCCAGUCUUCUCAGCCGUGGGCACAAAGACGAAGGGACUGCGGACUCGGCUCAUACAUUUCCUGCUUUUGGUGGUGAGAGCGCAUGCAUCUUUUAUAAUAUGCUCAUGCCAUGGAAUCAACCUGCAAGGAAGAAUUUAUUAAUGAGCCUGUUUAGGGAUUUUUUUCAAAUGGAAGACCUUACAGGAAUGCAGGGCUUUACAAGGAUAAAAUAAGACUCAAAGUCUGAUGCGGAAGCCAGAAAAAUUAUCAUUUUCCAACUCCCAACACCCUUCCAUCUCUCCAAAUUUUCAGCCCGAGUCAGUUCCCAGCAAAGAGUAAUGGGUCUGAGCUGAUCAGAUGACAACGGAAGCAGGUGUGUUUCCCGGUGGCUGACCGCAUGCAUCGAGCUGGGCUCAUCGUGGUCAACAGCACCGUCCCUGAAGCUGACGGCCUGGCUGUGGUCCCGGCUUUGCUACUUACCAGCUGUGGAACUUCUGGCAACUUUCUUCACCCCUUCUGCCUCCAUUUCUGCUUCUGUCAAAGGGGGUAAUAAUGGCAACAUUACUCAUCAUAGCCAAAAGGUGGAAACAAGCCAAGGGUCUCCUGGGGGAUGUGCAGAUAAACAAAAUGUGAUGUAUCCAUCCAACAGAGAUCAUGCAGAUUUAAAAAGAAAGGGAAUUGUAACACAUGCUACUGCAUGGAUCAACCCUGAAGACACCAUCCUAGGUGAAAGGAUGAAUCCUGUAUGAUUCCACUUACAUGAGGUACCUAGAGCAGUCAGAUUCAUAGAGACAGAAAGCCCAGGGGCGGUGGCCAGGGGCUGGCUGGGAGAGGAUGAGGAGUCUGUGUUCAAUGGGUAAAGUCUCAGUUUUGCACGAUGGAGGAGGUCUAGAGAUGGAUGGUGGCGGCUGCUGCGUCACAGAUGAAUGCAUUUAAUGCCACUGAACCGUGCCCUGAAAAAUGGCUAAGAUGAUAAAGUUUAUGUAUUGUGUAU
RNAcentral lists this long non-coding RNA (1195 nucleotides) under Capra hircus (goat). RNAcentral describes it as "lncRNA (ENSCHIG00000000885.1)". Lineage: Eukaryota; Metazoa; Chordata; Mammalia; Artiodactyla; Bovidae. The record is from RNAcentral.